AUUGAACGCUGGCGGAAUGCUUUACACAUGCAAGUCGAACGGCAGCGCGGACUUCGGUCUGGUGGCGAGUGGCGAACGGGUGAGUAACAUAUCGGAACGUAUCCAAUAAUGGGGGAUAACGAGUCGAAAGAUUCGCUAAUACCGCAUACGCCCUACGGGGGAAAGCUGGGGACCUUCGGGCCUGGCGUUAAUGGAGCGGCCGAUAUCUGAUGAGCUAGUUGGUGAGGUAAAGGCUCACCAAGGCGACGAUCAGUAGCUGGCCUGAGAGGACGACCAGCCACACUGGAACUGAGACACGGUACAGACUCCUACGGGAGGCAGCAGUGGGGAAUUUUGGACAAUGGGCGCAAGCCUGAUCAAGCCAUUCCGCGUGAGUGAAGAAGGCCUUCGGGUUGUAAAGCUCUUUCGCAAGGGAAGAAAACUUAGCCACUAACAUUGGUUGAGGUUGACGGUACCUUGAUAAGAAGCACCGGCUAACUACGUGCCAGCCGCCGCCGUAA
This 500-nucleotide ribosomal RNA is filed under the name uncultured bacterium. RNAcentral describes it as "partial 16S ribosomal RNA". It matches the Rfam family "Bacterial small subunit ribosomal RNA", at positions 30 to 523 of the family's 1533-position model. The record is from RNAcentral.